This is a long non-coding RNA of Glossina fuscipes, 596 nucleotides long. RefSeq lists it as uncharacterized. Lineage: Eukaryota; Metazoa; Arthropoda; Insecta; Diptera; Glossinidae. The record is from RefSeq and is a predicted model, not a curated record. The transcript is spliced from 3 exons.
UCGUUCUCGCCUGCAAGAGCAGGGGAGUGUAGUAUAAGCAACUUGCGUUUUUUUUUUUUUUUUCGAUUAAUAUUUUGUUCAUACAGUUGCUGCUGUUCUUUUUACAGAUUUUGCUUUAUUGAGUUUUAACACAAUGUUUUUGGUGAUGAAGAUUUAUUUUAUAUUUGUUAGUGUCGCUAAGAAUAUAUGAGCGAGUGAGCAGAUUUUCGUAAAGCCUCUGUGUACAAUUAUUAUGAUUAUCACGCUUAAAAGAAACCAUUAAUCGAAAGCCCUAAAAAAAAAAUACAAAUAUUUUGUGCAUAGAAACAAGUGUUAUUUAUUAGCCAGCUGAAUGGCCUAAAUGACCAAAUACCACCCUUCAAACGUGUAUCUUGCGUAAAACGUUCAAAAUAAAGAAAAAAAGGAAAGAUAUCAACAAAAAUACACACAACUUCCGUUCAAUAUUAAACAAAACAAAAAUUAUCUUUUCAAUAUUCAUAUACCACUGCAUGGUUUAUGAUCAAGGAUUAAUUCGCGGCUAUUCGUGAAUGUAUGUGUGUUGCAGAAACCUAACCUUACAAAAUGGGACCAAUUUAUUAUUUGCAUAAUAAAAAAAA